This 2748-nucleotide ribosomal RNA is filed under the name Streptococcus pneumoniae GA18068. RNAcentral describes it as "bacterial LSU rRNA". It matches the Rfam family "Bacterial large subunit ribosomal RNA". Lineage: Bacteria; Bacillati; Bacillota; Bacilli; Lactobacillales; Streptococcaceae. The record is from RNAcentral.
UCUGUUAAGGAUGUGAGGAGGAAGACGCAGUGAACUGAAACAUCUAAGUAGCUGCAGGAAGAGAAAGCAAAAGCGAUUGCCUUAGUAGCGGCGAGCGAAACGGCAGAAGGGCAAACCGAAGAGUUUACUCUUCGGGGUUGUAGGACUGCAAUGUGGACUCAAAGAUUAUAGAAGAAUGAUUUGGGAAGAUCAGCCAAAGAGAGUAAUAGCCUCGUAUUUAAAAUAGUCUUUGUACUUAGCAGUAUCCUGAGUACGGCGGGACACGUGAAAUCCCGUCGGAAUCUGGGAGGACCAUCUCCCAACCCUAAAUACUCCCUAGUGACCGAUAGUGAACCAGUACCGUGAGGGAAAGGUGAAAAGCACCCCGGGAGGGGAGUGAAAUAGAACCUGAAACCGUGUGCCUACAACAAGUUCGAGCCCGUUAAUGGGUGAGAGCGUGCCUUUUGUAGAAUGAACCGGCGAGUUACGUUAUGAUGCGAGGUUAAGUUGAAGAGACGGAGCCGUAGGGAAACCGAGUCUGAAUAGGGCGCCUUAGUAUCAUGACGUAGACCCCGAAACCAUGUGACCUACCCAUGAGCAGGUUGAAGGUGCGGUAAGACGCACUGGAGGACCGAACCAGGGCACGUUGAAAAGUGCUUGGAUGACUUGUGGGUAGCGGAGAAAUUCCAAACGAACUUGGAGAUAGCUGGUUCUCUCCGAAUAGCUUUAGGGCUAGCGUCGACAUUAGAGAUUCUUGGAGGUAGAGCACUGUUUGGGUGAGGGGGUCCAUCCCGGAUUACCAAUCUCAGAUAAACUCCGAAUGCCAAUGAAUUAUGGUCGGCAGUCAGACUGCGAGUGCUAAGAUCCGUAGUCGAAAGGGAAACAGCCCAGACCACCAGCUAAGGUCCCAAAAUAAUUGUUAAGUGGAAAAGGAUGUGGGGUUGCACAGACAACUAGGAUGUUAGCUUAGAAGCAGCUAUUCAUUCAAAGAGUGCGUAAUAGCUCACUAGUCGAGUGACCCUGCGCCGAAAAUGUACCGGGGCUAAAACAUUUACCGAAGCUGUGGAUACCUUUAUAGGUAUGGUAGGAGAGCGUUCUAUGUGUGAUGAAGGUAUACCGUGAGGAGUGCUGGAACGCAUAGAAGUGAGAAUGCCGGUAUGAGUAGCGAAAGACAGGUGAGAAUCCUGUCCACCGUAAGACUAAGGUUUCCAGGGGAAGGCUCGUCCGCCCUGGGUUAGUCGGGACCUAAGGAGAGACCGAAAGGUGUAUCCGAUGGACAACAGGUUGAUAUUCCUGUACUAGAGUAUGUAGUGAUGGAGGGACGCAGUAGGCUAACUAAAGCAGACGAUUGGAAGAGUCUGUCUAAGCAGUGAGGUGUGAAUUGAGUCAAAUGCUUAAUUCUAUAACAUUGAGCUGUGAUGGGGAGCGAAGUUUAGUAGCGAAGUUAGUGACGUCACACUGCCAAGAAAAGCUUCUAGCGUUUAAACAUACUCUACCCGUACCGCAAACCGACACAGGUAGUCGAGGCGAGUAGCCUCAGGUGAGCGAGAGAACUCUCGUUAAGGAACUCGGCAAAAUGACCCCGUAACUUCGGGAGAAGGGGUGCUGACUUAAAGUCAGCCGCAGUGAAUAGGCCCAAGCAACUGUUUAUCAAAAACACAGCUCUCUGCUAAAUCGUAAGAUGAUGUAUAGGGGGUGACGCCUGCCCGGUGCUGGAAGGUUAAGAGGAGUGCUUAGCGUAAGCGAAGGUAUGAAUUGAAGCCCCAGUAAACGGCGGCCGUAACUAUAACGGUCCUAAGGUAGCGAAAUUCCUUGUCGGGUAAGUUCCGACCCGCACGAAAGGCGUAAUGAUUUGGGCACUGUCUCAACGAGAGACUCGGUGAAAUUUUAGUACCUGUGAAGAUGCAGGUUACCCGCGACAGGACGGAAAGACCCCAUGGAGCUUUACUGCAGUUUGAUAUUGAGUGUCUGUACCACAUGUACAGGAUAGGUAGGAGUCUAAGAGAUCGGGACGCCAGUUUCGAAGGAGACGCUGUUGGGAUACUACCCUUGUGUUAUGGCCACUCUAACCCAGAUAGGUGAUCCCUAUCGGAGACAGUGUCUGACGGGCAGUUUGACUGGGGCGGUCGCCUCCUAAAAGGUAACGGAGGCGCCCAAAGGUUCCCUCAGAAUGGUUGGAAAUCAUUCGCAGAGUGUAAAGGUAUAAGGGAGCUUGACUGCGAGAGCUACAACUCGAGCAGGGACGAAAGUCGGGCUUAGUGAUCCGGUGGUUCCGUAUGGAAGGGCCAUCGCUCAACGGAUAAAAGCUACCCUGGGGAUAACAGGCUUAUCUCCCCCAAGAGUUCACAUCGACGGGGAGGUUUGGCACCUCGAUGUCGGCUCGUCGCAUCCUGGGGCUGUAGUCGGUCCCAAGGGUUGGGCUGUUCGCCCAUUAAAGCGGCACGCGAGCUGGGUUCAGAACGUCGUGAGACAGUUCGGUCCCUAUCCGUCGCGGGCGUAGGAAAUUUGAGAGGAUCUGCUCCUAGUACGAGAGGACCAGAGUGGACUUACCGCUGGUGUACCAGUUGUCUUGCCAAAGGCAUCGCUGGGUAGCUAUGUAGGGAAGGGAUAAACGCUGAAAGCAUCUAAGUGUGAAACCCACCUCAAGAUGAGAUUUCCCAUGAUUAUAUAUCAGUAAGAGCCCUGAGAGAUGAUCAGGUAGAUAGGUUAGAAGUGGAAGUGUGGCGACACAUGUAGCGGACUAAUACUAAUAGCUCGAGGACUUAUCCA